This 1169-nucleotide unclassified non-coding RNA is filed under the name Hevea brasiliensis (rubber tree). The record is from RNAcentral. Lineage: Eukaryota; Viridiplantae; Streptophyta; Magnoliopsida; Malpighiales; Euphorbiaceae.
AAUGAUAACUGCUUGCUCUGUAUCUUCCAAUCCCUGAAUCUCGGCUAGUUUUGGGCUGUUACCCAGAAAAAUUACAUCCAGUAGUUCAUUUGAUUUUAGUGAUAUUCUUUCCACUGAUGUGCAGUUUAUUACAAAAAAAAGUCCUUAAACUUGACGGAAGCUCUGAGAUUGAUUUGAGAUUUCUGCAGGAAGUCAGCCCCAAUAGAGUAAGCUUAGGAAGAUAUCCAAUACCGAUGGGAAGAUUAAAUAAGUCGUUUCCUUCCAAUUCCAAAAGUCUGAGUGAUGAUAAUCUCCCAAGAUCAAUGGGAACUACAUCCUCAGAUAAACUACAGUCGUGAAGAAAUAGCUGUGUCAAUGAACUCAACCCAGACAAGGAAGUUGGCAGCAAAACAUUGGAAUUUGAUCUUCUUGACAAAAGACAUGAUGCAAAUUGUGAUAACCAAGAGACAGAUUGUAAGGCAUCUUUCGAUCCACCCAACAAUAAUUUUGUAAGGUUUUUCAGAUGUCCAAUGGAAGAGGGGAGCUGCUUAAUGGCAGUUCCAUCUACCAGAAGCUCAGUUAAGGCUUCCAUGCUACCCAAGCUGUCGGGCAAUCUAUCAAGUUUUGAGCAGCUAGAAAUGUUGAGAGUUUCAAGAGCUGUCAAGUAACAAAUGCUUUCGGGAAGAUUCUUUAGGCUUUUGCAGCCCUCCAUGUUCAAGAAAACAAGUUUCUUCACAUAUCCAAUGGACUGGUGGACCUCAACUAAACUUGUGCAGCCUUCAAGAAUUAAUCUCUCCAGACUGGGGAGUCCUGAGAAGUUUGGUGUUUUAGUGAGGUGUACACAGUGUCUGAGAUCAAGAAUCUGCAAUUUCUUGAGAACCUUGUGGUUCUUGAGUACUCCCAAAGCAUCCUCAUGAAACCAAAGUCUGCUGCGUUUACCAGGAUGGUUUGGUGAUGCUACUCGGACAAUCUCUCUUCCCAUAUCCCGCAACAGAUCAUGCAUCACCAAUCUAUUCCAACAAUCAAUUUUCACUAGAGACCUUUGGAUGAGAACACGAAUCCCAAUUUCUGGAAAGAAACCGCAUCCAUCCAGUAUUUUAGCUACAUGAUCUUUAUCUACACCAGCAAAGAAGCAAGCAAUAUCAAGAAAUAUAUCCUUUAUUUUAUCAUCGUCCAAUGUAUCAAAACUU